AGUGAACGCUGGCGGUAGGCCUAACACAUGCAAGUCGAACGGCAGCACAGUAAGAGCUUGCUCUUACGGGUGGCGAGUGGCGGACGGGUGAGGAAUACAUCGGAAUCUACUUUUUCGUGGGUACUAACGUAGGGAAACUUACGCUAAUACCGCAUAUGACCUACGGGUGAAAGAAGGGGAUCUUCGGAACUUGCGCAGUUGAAUGAGCCGAUGUCGGAUUAGCUAGUUGUCGGGGUAAAGGCCCACCAAGGCGACGAUCCGUAACUGGUCUGAGAGGAUACUCAGCCACACUGGAACUGGAACACGUUCCAGACUCCUACGGGAGGCAGCAGUGGGGAAUAUUGGACGAUGGGCGCAAGCCUGAUCCAGCCAUACCGCGUGGGUGAAGAAGGCCUUCGGGUUGUAAAGCCCAUUUGUUGGGAAAGAAAAGCAGCAGGUUAAUACCCCGCUGUUCUGACGGUACCCAAAGAAUAAGCACCGGCUAACUUCGUG
This 492-nucleotide ribosomal RNA is filed under the name uncultured bacterium. RNAcentral describes it as "partial 16S ribosomal RNA". It matches the Rfam family "Bacterial small subunit ribosomal RNA", at positions 29 to 507 of the family's 1533-position model. The record is from RNAcentral.